CUGACUCAGACUAGCCAUGCACGUCUAGUACAAACUAAAUGAUGGUGAAACUGCAAAUGGCUCAUUACAACGGUUAUGAUGUACCCGGGAGUUCCGAUGGAUAUUUCCAGUAACACUAGAACUAAUACAUGUCCCUGCGUUUAUUAGUUUCGCACAGUCCGUCGCUGAGUCAUGGUAAACAGUUGAUCGACUCGACGUCCCGGAACAGUUUCCGCCCCAUCAGCUUCGAUGGUUGGGUAUUGGCCUACCAUUGCAACAACGGGUAACGAGGAAUUAGGGUUUGAUUUCGGAGAGGGAGCCUGAGAAACGGCUACCACAUCUACGGAUGGCAGCAGGCGCGCAAAUUACCCAAUGCAGACACUGUGAGGUAGUGACGAGAAAUAAUAAAGCGGGACUUCUGUUUCGCUAUUAUAAUGAGGAAUAACCAAAGGUCAUUCCGAUUAGCAACUGAUGGGAAAGUCUGGUGCCAGCAGCCGCGGUAAUACCAGCGUCAGUAGCAU
RNAcentral lists this ribosomal RNA (500 nucleotides) under uncultured Myrionecta. RNAcentral describes it as "SSU rRNA". It matches the Rfam family "Eukaryotic small subunit ribosomal RNA", at positions 34 to 600 of the family's 1831-position model. Lineage: Eukaryota; Ciliophora; Litostomatea; Cyclotrichida; Mesodiniidae. The record is from RNAcentral.